CGAUCUUCUUUCUUCCAAUCUCUCAUCUGCUUCCUCAUACAUUCCGAUUCGCUUCUCUAUUCUGAUUCUACGAUUCCAUUCCAUUCCAUCAAUUUAAUUCUUCUACUCUCCGAUUGUUUUCCUUCCACAGCUAAAGGUUAAGAGAGAUGGCUAACAAUGCUGCUACGUGUGCUGAGAGGGCAACAAGUGACAUGCUUAUUGGUCCUGAUUGGGCAAUUAACAUUGAGUUGUGUGAUAUCAUCAAUUUGGACCCUAAGCAAGCAAAGGAUGCGUUAAAGAUAGUGAAUAACUCUAACUCACAUGCAUGGUAUGUAUUUGAUGUAGGCACUGGAGACCCUUAGUAAAAAUUGUGGUGAAAGCGUGUUUCAGCAGAUUGUUGAGCGCAGGUGAAGAGGAGAUCGACGGUGAGGCGUGGCGGCGACGGCUCCUCCCUCCAGCUUGACGAUGGCGUGACGGCGGCCCACACCCUACCGGCGACGCAUCUCCCUUCUCGGAUCUCUCUUCCAUGUGUGUGAAUGCAUUUGUUUUGUGUGUGUAUAGUUGAGAAGGCAGAAAGAGUGAGGAGAGGAGGGUUGGGGGCUGCGCAGGUGAAGAGGAGAGAGGCGGUGAGGAUAGAAUUAUGGUUAAGGGCAAUGUAGUCAUUUUACUUGAGUGAGAGGGACUUAUGUGUUCCGUUUUCAAAACCUCUAUCCCACUAACGUACCACGUGGGAACGCCGUUGAGCCAGGUAAGCAUAGGGGGAGCCAGCUCAGCAUUUUCUGUCCACUUUGAGGCUGGCUCAUGGACGGAGGGACUGAUCGGUCUUAUUUUCAGGAACGUCAGGGAUUUAAAUGUAUUUUCCAAUGCUCAGGGACGAAAAUGUCUGAGGCUUAAAAGGAUUGUUUAAGAGCAUUAGAUAAAACAUAUAUAGAUGUGACUGUCCCUGAAAAAGAUAAAUCAAGAUACCGAACAAGAAUUGAAAAGAGAAGAUUCAGAACAACACCCGAAAAGAGAAGGAAGAGAGACUGAGUGGGCAGAAACAGAAAACGAGUUGGCAGCGGCGCGGAAACAGGCAACGUCGUCCAGGUGGAACAAGAAUCAUUCCUCCAUAGUUCUUCGGAAAGAGUACGGUUAGGGCGGCAGUGAAGGAAUCCGAGACAGAGACAUGAUGAGAGGUGGGUAUGAAAGUUAAAACUAAAUAUGUCUAUUUAGUAAUUUUAUAUCAUAUUGUAGUCUUGUUCAUAUUAAUCCAAACAUAAUACUAGACAUUACAUUAAUGUUUUGUCCAUUGUAUCUAAACAUAAUACAUAAAAAAUAAUUUUUAGUGUCUC
Molecule: non-coding RNA, 1310 nt
Organism: Arachis ipaensis
Lineage: Eukaryota; Viridiplantae; Streptophyta; Magnoliopsida; Fabales; Fabaceae
Source: RefSeq, a predicted model, not a curated record